GCGCUCCGACCCAGCCGCUCCAUGCUGCUCGCGGGUCCCAGCUCUGCGGUUCGAACGCGGCCGCCAGACCCGCGUCCCGCCCAGCUCUUGACUGACAAGCCUCUCUGCCAUUCGCGAUGCGUCCUGACCACGACUCCGCCCCCUACCGCGAUGUCUGUCCAAUCAACGGUCAAUGUGGCGGGGCGCGGCGGUUUCCUCGGAGAGGGACGCUCGAAGUUGCAGGCAUCUGGGCGGUACUUAGCGUUGAGUAACAGAUUCGUCCCCCAAUAAGGGUGCAGCAUCUUGCGCAUGUGCGAGCUCCAUUGGGCAGAAGGAGGAGGAGGCGGGACUACUCGCUGAACUUGAGGAUGCCAAGCGACUGACGCUAUGGAGACGGGCUGGGGCAGCCAGCCGCGGUUCCUAUGAUGAGGCGAGCAGAACUGCAUCCUCUAUUCAAGUUAUUCAGCAGAGGGGUGGAGCCUAUCAAGUGCCCGUAUCCAUAUCCUUCCUACUGCCACAGGAGAAGGGAGCGAGACACUCACAAAAGGUACUUUUCAGCUGCUCCCUAGAAGAUAGCCAGAUUGUUCCUGAUCACAUUUCUCUCCGAUUCAAGCUUCCAACUAGUAAGCACGCUGCUCAGCUGGGACAGAACAACACUUUCUGCCUGAUGUACCAAGCCUGAAGAUCCUAUUACAGGAGAGAAAGGAAAAAUGGCUGCUGAACAAAUCAUAUGAAUUCCUUCAGCCAGCUGUCCGCCAGUCCCUUAAAAAAGAGAGAGAGAGAGAGAGAGCGCGAGCGCACUCGUGCGCUGGGGAGGCAAUAAAAGAUGCAUUUGUGUCCCAUUCAUCACUAUGUCAUCGUCAGAUGCAGGCGGAUAUUGUUUAGCAGCACUGUGAAUGGGUGCAAAUUAACACAUACUCCACAGCAUUUCCCUACCCCAGUUCAUUCUCCAGCCUGUUCCCCACCCCCUUG
Long non-coding RNA from Mauremys mutica (yellowpond turtle), 951 nucleotides. RefSeq lists it as uncharacterized. The record is from RefSeq and is a predicted model, not a curated record. The transcript is spliced from 4 exons. Lineage: Eukaryota; Metazoa; Chordata; Testudines; Geoemydidae.